GAUGAAGAACGUAGCGAAAUGCGAUAAGUAAUGUGAAUUGCAGAAUUCAGUGAAUCAUCGAAUCUUUGAACGCACAUUGCGCCCCCUGGUAUUCCGGGGGGCAUGCCUGUCCGAGCGUCAUUACAACCCUCAAGCUCAGCUUGGUGUUGGGCCCCGCCGCCCCGGCGGGCCCUAAAGUCAGUGGCGGUGCCGUCCGGCUCCGAGCGUAGUAAUUCUUCUCGCUCUGGAGGUCCGGUCGUGUGCUCGCCAGCAACCCCCAAUUUUUUUCAGGUUGACCUCGGAUCAGGUAGGGAUACCCGCUGAACUUAAGUAUAUCAAUAAGCGGAGGA
Molecule: unclassified non-coding RNA, 329 nt
Filed under: soil metagenome
Description: partial contains 5.8S ribosomal RNA, internal transcribed spacer 2, and large subunit ribosomal RNA
Rfam family: 5.8S ribosomal RNA (bases 1-120)
Source: RNAcentral